This is an RNA transcript of Mus pahari (shrew mouse), 1088 nucleotides long. It is a transcript of the gene named L-lactate dehydrogenase A chain pseudogene, with no coding region annotated. The record is from RefSeq and is a predicted model, not a curated record. The transcript has a single exon. NCBI's taxonomy places the organism in Eukaryota, Metazoa, Chordata, Mammalia, Rodentia, Muridae.
AUCGUGCACUAGCGGUCUCAAAAGAUUCAAAGUCCAAGAUGGCAACCCUCAAGGACCAGCUGAUUGCGAAUCUUCUUAAGGAAGAACAGGUCCCCCAGAACAAGAUUACAGUUUUUGGUGCUGUUGGCAUGGCUUGUGCCAUCAGUAUCUUAACAAAGGAGUUGGCGGAUGAGCUUGCCCUUGUUGACGUCAUGGAAGACAAACUAAAGGGCGAAAUGAUGGAUCUCCCGCAUAGCAGCCUCUUCCUUAGAAAAUCAAAAAUUGUCUCCAGCAAAGACUAUUGUGUAACUGCAAACUCCAAGCUGGUCAUCAUCAUAGCCUGGGCCCAUCAGCAAGAAGGAGAGAGCCGACUCAAUCUGGUCCAGCGAAAUGUGAGCAUCUUCAAGUUCGUCAUUCCGAACAUUGUGAAGUACAGUCCACACUGCAAGCUGCUUAUUGUCUCAAAUCCAGUGGAUAUCUUGACCUACGUGGCUUGGAAAAUCAGUGGCUUUCCCAAAAGCCGAGUUAUUGGAAGUGGUUGCAAUCUGGAUUCCGCUCGGUUCUGUUACCUGAUGGGAGAAAGGCUGGGGGUUCACCCGCUGAGCUGUCACGGCUGGGUCCUGGGAGAACAUGGCGACUCCAGUGUGCCUGUGUGGAGUGGUGUGAACAUUGCCGGCGUCUCCCUGAAGUCUCUGAACCCAGAACUGGGCACUGAUGCAGACAAGGAGCAGUGGAAGGAGGUUCACAAGCAGGUGGUGGACAGUGCCUAUGAGGUGAUCAAGCUGAAAGGUUACACAUCCUGGGCCAUUGGCCUCUCUGUGGCAGACUUGGCCGAGAGCAUAAUGAAGAACCUGAGGCAGGUGCAUCCCAUUUCCACCAUGAUUAAGGGUCUCUAUGGAAUCAAUAAGGAUGUCUUCCUCAGUGUCCCAUGUAUCCUGGGACAAAAUGGAAUCUCGGAUGUUGUGAAGGUGACACUGACUCCUGAGGAAGAAGCCCGCCUGAAGAAGAGUGCAGAUACCCUCUGGGGAAUCCAGAAGGAGCUGCAGUUCUAAAGUCUUCCCACUGUCCUAGCACUUCACUGUCCAGGCUGCAGCAAGGUUUCUCUCUAG